Molecule: ribosomal RNA, 405 nt
Filed under: uncultured bacterium
Lineage: Bacteria
Description: partial 16S ribosomal RNA
Rfam family: Bacterial small subunit ribosomal RNA
Source: RNAcentral
AUUGAACGCUGGCGGCGUGCUUAACACAUGCAAGUCGAGCGGCGCGGCGAACGGGUGAGUAACGCGUGAGUAACUGCCCCCCUCUCUGGGAUAACAGUUGGAAAUGGCUGCUAAUACCGGAUAGUGGGGGAUGACUCGCGUCCUAUGAGCUUGUGGGUGGGGUAGUGGCCUACCAAGGCGACGCCGGGUAGCCGGCCUGAGAGGGGGACCGGCCACAAUGGGCUGAGGUACGGCCCAAACGGCUACGGGGGGCAGUGGUGGGGAAUAUUGCACAAUAGGGGAAACCCUGAUGAAGCAGCGCCGCGUGCGGGAUGACGGCCUUCGGGUUGUAAACCGCUUUCAGCCAUGACGCGGUAGUGUAAGAAGAAGCACCGGCUAACUACGUGCCAGCAGCCGCGGUAAUUC